Molecule: unclassified non-coding RNA, 697 nt
Filed under: Bombus terrestris (buff-tailed bumblebee)
Lineage: Eukaryota; Metazoa; Arthropoda; Insecta; Hymenoptera; Apidae
Description: misc RNA ENSBTSG00005025075.1
Source: RNAcentral
UGCAAUUAGUUUCAUCGGAAACAAAUAUGUUUAUCUCUCAAUCAAAUAUCGUAGUAAUUUAUUUAUAGAUUUGCGCAUCCAUAUGUAAUGUACAUACGUGUAUAUCGUACGUGAAAUGGUAAACUGUCCCCAAUUAUUUACCAUUUUAUCAUACACUUUACUGAUCUUUAACAUUUCACUGAAAGAGGUAACAUCAACAGAAAUAGAACGUAGAUAUACGCUUACUGAAACCACAAAAUGCAAGAGAGAGAGAGAGAGAGAGAGAGAGAGAUCAAACUCGACUGCGUCCAUUUCGCGAAGAAGACCUUCUGCCGGACCUUUUGGGCCUCGCUUUUCGUUUCUUCCCUUCCAUUUCCAUCGGGAGCUUUCCCGAUUAUCGGUGACCCACCACCUUUGUGCGCAUCGAACGAUCGGAGCACAAUGGUCGUCACAAUACCACUGCAUCGAGCCGUAAAACCAUAGACUUUUGGAAAUCGUGAAACGAUCCGAAACGCGACCUACGUAAGUAUAUUGCGAUAAAAUCGUACGUAUCCUGUGUACGUAGCAGGAAUCAGCUUCUCAAUUCUCUGGUCUGGAGAUUUUCGAUUAGGCGAAUAUAUUCGAAAGCGUUGUAUUUCAGAUAGACGUAAAGAAAGUGGAAACGCGUAGAGAAAUUCUUGUAAACUUUAUUAGUUGACAGUUUAAACGUUUGAGAAAG